UGAAUGAGUUCAGAGAUCGUGUA
Molecule: microRNA, 23 nt
Filed under: Prunus persica (peach)
Lineage: Eukaryota; Viridiplantae; Streptophyta; Magnoliopsida; Rosales; Rosaceae
Description: ppe-miR6290
Source: miRBase by way of RNAcentral